AUUCAAUGAUGCCCAUAUUUUGAGAGGUUAAAUUUCCUAGAAACCAGCUUCUAGUCUUUGUGUGUCCUGGCUUGUGCUCUUUAAAGAGACUGAAAAAAGCAUGUUCUACAAAAUCCUGUCUUGCUCCAUGGUAAUGAGGUCAGACAGACCUCCCCAGGAGCCUGACUGGAGCUACUAUACAACUGUGGGGUGGCCUUGGAAACUUGGAGACAUUUGGGGCGUGCUGAGUCACUGCUGCAGCUCAGGCCCAGGGCUCCUGUCACCACUUUGGGGAGCUGGUGGUACAAUAGAGAUAUCACUGUGGUGGGGCCUGGAAUGAGGGCCUGUCAUGGGACAGGGCACUGUAAAGAGAACAGAGACCAGGCAGGAGGAUGGCUUCAGCCCAGGAGUUUGAGGCCAGACCAGGCAACAUGGCAGUGCACACCUGUAGUCCCAACUACUCAGGAAGCAGAGGCAGGAAGACUGCUUGAGCCCAGGACUUCAAGGCAGAGGUGAGCUAUGAUUGUACCACUGCAUUCCAGCCUGGGCAACAGAACAAGACCCUGUCUGAAAAAAAAAAGCUGGAAAUACUAUUUUAUAAGUUGUAAUAUGUAACAGAUUAGUCUUAAUUGUUGAAUUAACAAGGGAAUCUAAAGUCAAGUGUAGCUUAGAGCUCUCCCUGAGGCAUACCAUUUAAGCUGACUGUACAGAAAUUAAAGUGGACAUGCAUUUUGCUAUCUGGGCAGGUUGCUACUAAUCAAAUUACCACUAUGUGUCUUGGAGGAUGAAUAGGUAAAGAAGGUGAUCAGCAAAGUACAAGUCUUCAAAACUAGAGUGCUUUUCUUCUGGGAAAUAGGGAAAAAAAAGACUUGUUUGUAGAGGGCUAGGCGCAGAAAGGAACUUGAGGAAGAGACCAGAGGGUCACAGGUUUACAUAAUUAAGAAGGAGGUGCACAUAGGAUUCAGAAGUUCAGAAUCAGGACAAUCUAAGUAAACCUGGUCCUAGAGUAGGUUUCCUAUGAUUCCUUUAAAAUGCCUUACAAAAUCUGAAGCUCUAGAACUAAAGCUCAAAGAUAUAGGAAACUUAACUACAGAGGAGGAAAAUGUAACAGCAGAGUCCUCAUAGGGAAGUUUACCUAGAAAGAAGUUUGCUUUUUGGUUUUGUCUAGAUUAUAUUUCUAUUAAAAUAUGAACAUAGUAUUUCUAUAAAAUACUUUGCAAAACUAAGGCAGUUCCUAAAAUGGGGAAGUUUUCAGGAUUACGUUCUCAUGAUUCACUGAUGUUGUGCUUAUCAUAACUAGGUAAGGUGGGGGAGGAAGUUCUAAGAAUGACGGCAUUUACAUGCAAAAACCAAACUGACAUAAACCAGCAUCAUAAAAGAAACAUGCCAUAAGAGAAUGCCCCAGGGCUAAAGUAUGACUUGAAUCAGUGAAAGGCAGGUGCUUCUAACUGGGAAAUGAUCUGAUAGGCUGUUCUGUUGCAGAAUAGACAUGGAUUAGAUUUUUGCACUACUCCACACACCUAUAGGUAGUAGAGUGAAAACCAAAAACCUUGGAGGUUUUAAUGGCAAUAAUCAUAAUUAUUGGGAAAACACUUUUUCUCCUAUGUUAAAGCCACUAUAAAAUAAUAACAUUCUUUCAUUGCUGAAUGCACCCAAAUCAUUCAGCUAUUUCUGUUAUGAAUGAUCUAGAUACUACUCUAUUGCAUUAUGGGAAAUAGCCCAGAUAAACUUUGGAAUAUCUCCAAGUUCUAUGAUUCUCUUGUCAAGAGUACAUGUAAUAUGCGACAUAUAUAUAAUAAAUACACCCAGCAAACACAUAUAUGUAUAUAUGUUUGCAUUUUGCCUAAGACCGUCCCCCUUCAGUAAGUCCAUUUUCUACUCUAAAUUUUGGAUCAGUUUCUGAGUUACCGAACCACCAAAUAUAUAACAGAAACAAACCGGAGAGCAUGGUGGGGAAGUUGGGAUAGUGAAGCAAAUGUGUGUUUCCACUACAAACAUUGUUUAUAUUGCAAAUAUAUUUGUACUCUUAUUUUUAAGAAUAUGUAAGUACAUGCUGAUUAAUGGCUAUAAGUUUCAGAACAUUAUUGGGUUUAUAGAAGCUUUUAUCUUAUGUGUUUUCUCAUUUAACUGAAUACUGAAAGUACAAUUACUAUAAAUGGAAAGUCCUUAAAAACUGUUGAUAUUAGAAAGGAAUUCUCAAAGUUGUUACUGAAAAAAUGGAAGUGUUAUAUUUGGAAGGACCUUUUUGAAUUUUAUCUAUUUUUUUCUGAGCAGGAAUAUUUUACAGUGUUCUAGAUCAUAUUGUAUCUGUUUCCACAAAAAUUACAUGCCUAUAUUUAAUUAUGUAAACCUUAAAUGGGGGAAAUUAUAAUUCUAUCAAUUUGAGAAUAUAUAAUCUUUUAAAAACACAUUUAAGAUAUAAGCCAUAUGUUAAAUUGAGUAAAUCAGGUGUUGAAAUAAUGUGCUUUACUUUCAAAUAUAGUAUCCCAGUAUUUUUUAAGUUACAAAAAAUUGGUAGCAGCCAAAGUAUAUCAGAAUAAAUUAUCAGGCUCAUAGCUCUGCUGGAGGAGGAUAUUGUUUUGACAGUUGAAAUCUGACUAAUGGUAACCUGAUAGAACGUGAAUAAUGAGAUGAUGCUUAUAGUUUGAGGACAAGGAGCUUGUCUUUGGCCUGUGAGUCAGUAUUAACAGUCCUUGCACUCAUUGGCACCAAUGCUGGCCAAGUGGCCCUGGAAAUAGGUUGCUCAGCUGACUCAUUGGUGGCACCCCUAACUCCAGUAGUGCAGUCAUUUUUCUUUGGGUCAUGAGGAUUGUCCACUGAAGAUUCUUUGCAGCAAUUUUAAUCUGCACCACCUCCUCUUCCUCUCACAAUGUCCAUCCAUUCAUUCAUUUAUUGAAAAAUAUUUAUGGUAUGUCAGGAACUAUGCUGGAUGCUGGGGAUCCAAUGGUAAGCAAUCAGACACAGUCAAACAAUCACACAACAAUUAUAUAAUCACGAACUAAGAUAGGUGCUGUGAAGGCAAGGAUAAAGCCAUGACAAUAUAACAGAGGACCCUGAAAUCACAUGGGGAGUUAGGGAAAGCUGUCCUAAGGAAGGUGAGUUUGAGUGAGAGCUAAAGCUGCACUGACAAAAAUAGCAGCCACUGUAUGUAGUUAUUUAGAUUAAUUAAAAGUAAAUAAAACUAAAAUUCAGGCCAGGCAUGGUGGCUCACGCCUGUAAUCCCAGCACUUUGGGAGGCCGAGGCGGGUGGAUCACAAGGUCAGGAUAUCGAGACCAUCCUGGCCAACAUGGUGAAACCCCAUCUCUACUAAAAAUACAAAAAGUAGCCAGGCAUGGUGGCAUGCCUGUAAUCCCAGCUACUCGGGAGGCUGAGGCAGGAGAAUCGCUUGAACCCGGGAGGAGGUUGCAGAUCGCACCACUUCACUCCAGCCUGGGCAACACAGCGAGACUCUGUCUCAAAAACAAACAAACAAAAAAAAAAUGAAAAAACACAACAACAACAACAACAACAACAACAAAACAACCUAAAAUUCAGUUUCUCAGUCACACUAGCCACAUCAACUGCUCAAUAGUCACAUGUGGCUAGUGCCUACAGAAUUGGACAGCACAGGUAUAUAAUAUUUACAUCACUGCAGAAGUUCUACUGACCAGCAUUGGUCUAAAUGAUGAAUAGGAAUUAACCAGGAAAGUGAUGAGCAAAACCAUUGUAGGUUGAGAGACUACCAUGGGCAAAGGCUCUGUGGUAGGGGAGACAAUGUACAAACUGUUACGGAAACUACAGUCCAUGGGAUUUUAGCUGGAUAAGGGACAAAGGAUAAAAGAAGAGACCUGAUGAAUUGGUAGAAAGUAGAAGGGGUUACUGGGCUGAAAAUCUAAAUUUGGACACAAAAUAGUCAUGGUGGGUGGAACGGCAAAGGAGAAGCAGGUGUGGUCAAAAAGCAGGAUGCGCCGGGCAAGGUGGCACAUGCCUGUAAUCCCAGCACUUUGGGAGGCCAAGGCGGGUGGAUCACAAGGUCAGGAGUUCAAGACCAGCCUGGCCAACGUAGUGAAACCCCAUCUCUACUAAAAAUACAAAAAAUUAGCCGGGCCUGGUGGCAGGCGCCUGUAAUCCCAGCUACUCGGGAGGCUGAGGCAGGAGAAUCACUUAAACCCCGGAGGCAAUGGUUGCAGUGAGCAGAGAUCGUGCCACUGCACCCCAGCCUGGGUGACAGUGUGAGUCUCCACCUCAAAAACUAAAAAAUAAAAAAGCAGGAUGCUUGAAUCAGCGGUUUUGGCAAUAGAUCUGUUGCAGAUGAUGACAAGGUCCAAAUGUGACCCUGAGAGUGGGUAGCUUGGAUGGAGAGAAGCUAAAGGUCAUUGGAGAUAAGGAAGUUGGGACUCAGAGGCCAGAUUAUCAUGUAUGUCAACUUUGCAUUUUGAAAUUACUGCAGCAAUUGGCAGAGUUUGGAUUUGAGGGGAACAGUCCCAAAGAGUAAAUGGGAGGCCCAGAAAUGAUAGCUACCAGCAGGGGGAAAGGAGGCCUUAUCAGAUAGCUCCACACUGACUCAGAUGAGAGAGUGCAAGGACAAGGGACCUGGAAAUGACAAUGGGGAACAAUGGGACAGCAAAGCCCUUCUCCACCUGAUGUGAGAAAGCAGACGGUCACCACUUCAGAGGACUAAAGGAGAAGCAAUGUCCUCAGGGAAAACUCAGGUUUUUGUUGGAGCAAAAAGGUGAAGGCAUGGUUGAGAGAACAGAGUGAUGACAUAGGGGAGUUUGCUGAAUACAAAGCAACGGUUCCAGAAGGCAUGUGGAAGCCCUGAGCAAGAGAGGAGGAACAGAGGGCUCAUCCAGGAGCAGUGGGGAAAAUCAGGCAAAGAGAUUGAUGACUGAGGUGGACUUAUAUUUAAGCAUUAACUGAUUUAAAAAAAAAAAAAGUCAAUGGGAAUGGGAGUGAUUACUGGCCCUACUGCUGCAAGGACUUGGCUCACUAGACCUGAUGAAGGGGUGUUCCUGCAGGAGUUUCUGCACAGGCCACUGCUUGGGAUGUUCUUGAGCCAGAGGUUGUAGUUUCAGCUCCUGUACAGCUUAGCAUAACAUUGGCUUCAGAGGCUUAGGCUUCAACACCUGACACAAUGUUGACUGUCUCAGAGGUGAGGUGUUAAGAAUACCACAGAUUGAAUACAUGAGGUGUUAAGGACCUCAGAGGUUGGGUAUUAGUUAGUUCAGUCCCAGAGAGUAGGGCAAUUGGCACUCCUAGAAGAUGCGUCUCUAUACCUGAGCAGCCUGCGGUACGCUGGUCCCAGCAGUCUGCAAGUGAUACAUGCGAUUUUCCAAUCUUUUUGAAUCAACAGCAUGUUCUCAUCAGUCUGUAAUUGUAGAUCAGAGGAUACUUUAUCAAAUAUAAUCAUUGAGCUCUAUAAUUCAUGAACUCUGCUUGUAACACAUCUUCAAUUUUUAAAUUGUGAGAACUUGCAAGAGCUGCAAGUUAUGUGCUGUUUUAAAUUUAGUUCUAACAAAAUAUAGCUGGAGGUUCUGUCAUAAGAUUAAUAAACAUACAUUAUUUGGGAGGUUAUUUAUUAUUUUAAUUAUGUGACAUUAUUUUUCCCCUCUGACAAAAGCAAUCAAGAUGACUAAAAUUGAAUUGGUGAAAAUGAACUGAUCCCCAAAGGUUAUAAAUGUUGUUGAAAAAUGUCAGGAAUUUAUUAAAUUUCCCACAUGUUAACCAAAAAAGGUUAGUAAGGUAGAUACACAGUGGUGACUUCAUGUCAGUGAAGAAUCUGACUAGAAGUAGACAGAAUUCUAGAGAUAAAUUCAUCAAAUCCUCUACUCUAUAGAUCAGGAAACUGACACUUAGGUUAGGUGCAGUGACCAUUUCCAGUGACUUUGACCUUUACUGACAAAAUGUCAGGGAAGACUUAGUACCACAGGCCAGGCACAGUGGCUCAUGCCUAUAAUCCCAGCACUUUGGGAGGCCAAGGUGAGUGGAUUGCCUGAGCUCAGAAGUUCGCGACCAGCCUGGGCAACAUGGUGAAACCACAUCUCUACAAAAAAUACAAAAAUUAAACAGGCAUGGUGGCAUAUGGAUGUAGUCCCAGCUACUUGGGGGGCUGAUGUGGGAGGAUUGCUUGAGCCUGGGAGGUUGAGGCUGCAGUGAGCCAAGAUCAUGCCACUGCACUUCAGCCUGGGUGACAGAGCGAGACCCUGUUUCCAAAAGAAAAACAAACAAACAAAACAAAAAACAAAGACUUAGUACCAGGAACCAGAUGGAAUGACAAUAAUAUUGUAAACAUUAAAUCUCCAAUAUCACAUAAUUAUAGGGUCUUAGACUUCAACUUACUAUAGGACUGUCUGGUCCAGUGUUGAAAUCCUCUUGCAGAUGGUUAUCUGCUCUUCCUUGACUACAUGCCUUGACUGGAUGUUGUAUUCUUCCAUGGCAGUUCAUUCUGUUAUGCAGUAGCUGUUUAUGUUGGAAAUUCUUUACACUGAGCUGGUGUUAUCCCUACAAUUUCACCUAUGGGUUCUGACUUCUUGAGCUGAGAUCUGCAAGAGUUAGCCCAUGACAAUUAUAUUUGCUCUAAUUCUCUUCUUUUCCAGGUAAGACACCUCUAAUUCUCAGAGUUGCAUGUCAUAUAUGAGGAAAAGUGAAGUAAAAAAAGAGGAGAAAAAAUAAUGUGUUGUGGGCAAUUACUAGAACUCAGGGAGUUAGGUUUUACUCAGCAUCAUCAAAUGCAAGCUUCUCAUCCUUUUGAGUCAGCAGCAUGUCCUUAUCAGUCCCUAAGUGAGCUCUGCAAAUCAAGAAUUCUGGUUGCAGUGUACACUUAAUUUUUAAAUUGUAAAAAGAACUAGCUAGCUUGGGCAUGGUGGCCUAUGCUUAUAACUUCAGCACUUCGGGAGACUUAGGUGGAAGGAUUGCUUGAGCUCAGGAGUCUAAGACAAGCCUGGGCAACAUAACAAGACACCAUCUCUACAAAUAAUAUAAAAAAUUAGGCAGGUGUGGUGCCACAUGCCUGUAGUCCCAGCUACUCAGGAAGCUGAAGCAGGAAGAUGGCUUGAGCCUGGGAGAUCAAGGCUGCAGUGAGCUGUGAUUGUGCUACUGCGCUCCAGCCUGAGCAACAGAACAAUACCCUGUCUUACACAUACACAAAAAAGAACUAGCUCUACUGAAAAAAUAGAACAAUUGGCCAAGUGUGGUGGCUCACCCCUGUAAUCCCAGCACUUUGAGAGGCUGAGGCAGGCAGAUCGCCUGAGGUCAGGAGUUCGAGACCAGCCUGACCAACAUGGAGAAACCCCGUCUCUACUAAAAAUACAAAAUUAGCUGGGCAUGGUGGUGGCGGGCACCUGUAAUCCCAUCUACUCGGGAGGUUGAGGCAGGAGAAUCGCUUGAACCCAGGAGGCAGAGAUUGCAGUGAGCCAAGAUCGCGCCACCGCACUCCAGCCUGGGCAACAAGAGAGAAACUCUGUCUCAAAAAAAAAAAAAAAAGAGAACAAUUAUAACACAAAGGGGAGUAAUAGAAUCCAAUGGAAUAAAAAUUUACACUUUUUAUUUGUAAAAAGUCUGAGAUCACUAAGUUAAUAUAAGAAUCUCUAGACUUCAUAUUGUGCUAAAACAUAAUAGUGCUCAAAACAUUGCAGCUUUGUUAUAAAAAAUAAAAUUCUUAGUUGUUAUUUAACUCUAUCCUUAAAUAAAGAAAAAAAACCCAUUUCUUUCCACCUCUUCAAAUAUUAAAAUUCCAGGAAACAACUGAUAUGCUAGGAUAUUCUUAGCUAAGAUUUAAAUUAGAUUUGGGAAAGUUGUGCAUGUGUCAUUUUCAAUGGUUCGUAGAGCAUAAAAGCACAAAUUUACUUUGAUUUUUGAUUCUAAUUUGAAUCCUAGAAGGAACUGUUUUAUUUUCUAGAAAAUCUAGUACAUGGAUAGUGUUUAUUUAAAUAUGUACAAAUAUAAAUGUCCUCAUGAGUUCAAAGUAUAAAAUAAGUAUAAAAUAAGUAUAUUUUUUAAACCAAAAGGCAGAUGAACAUACACACUGUGAUGGUUAGUACUCAAUGUCAACUUGAUUGGAUUGAAGGAUACGAAAUAUUGAUCCUGGCUUUGUCUCUGAGGGUGUUGCCAAAGGAGAUUAACAUUUGAGUCGGUGGGCUGGGAAAGGCAGACCCAUCCUUAAUCUGGGUGAGCACAAUUGAAUCAGCUGCCAGUGCAGCUCAAAUAAAAAGCAGGCAGAAAAGAUGUGAAGAGAGACUGGCCUACCCUCGCAGCCAACAUCUUUCUCCUGUGCUGGAUGAUUCCACGCCUCAAACUCCAAAUUCUUCAGUUUUGGAAGUCAGACUGGCUCUCCUUGCUCCUCAGCCCGCAGACAGCCUAUUGUGGGACCUUGUGAUCAUGUGAGUUAAUACUGAAAAAACUCCCCUUUAAAUAGAUAUAUCUAUUCCAUUAGUUCUGUUCCUCUAGAGAACUCUAAUACAUACGCUCAUCUGACAAACCUAGCCAUAACAAAGCUACAGAGAUUCUGAUGUUUGUUCAGAGACCGAUUUACCUUUAGACAAAAGUAUUUUUAAAACACAGUCUAAAAAUCAGAGAUAAAUCAAUUUGAAUGGAAUUUUGUUACUUACAAAUUGCUUUGAGUCUGGUGGGAUUUUCAAAUUCUGACCCUAACUAGAUUUGGCUCUAUGUAAAUUUGUAGUUAAAAGGUUUCACUCUGUAUGGGUCUAUAAUCAUUUAUUUACCCAUAUAUUACAUGUCUUUUUGCCUGAGGAGGACUGAAAAAAAAUGGACUUUAUUUAUUAGACUGCCCACGAGAAGAGUAAGUCCAGUGAAAACAUUUUUGUUAAGCCUUUCCCAUUUGUUUGCUAGGAUAAUAGUGAUGUUAAACUUGAGAGUUGUAUGUACAUGCAUGUUUAAAUCAAAUUUGGUAAUUAGGUUGUUUUAUACAAUGAUCAUUGAAUUUGCUUAAUGCCCACUGCAUGCUAGGCAUUUGCAAAGUGUUGGAAGAGAUUUAAAGACAAAUAAGAUAGUUCUUAUUCCACAUUGUGAUUGCUGAAACUGAUACCUGAAGAAAUAAUUAUGAUACAGCACGGUAUCUUAUAAGAUAUACAAAUUGUUGUUGUAAUAUAAAAUAACUUAUUAGGCUGGGCAUGGUGGCUCACACCUGUAAUCCUAGCACUUUGGGAGGCCACGGUGGGUGGAUCACAAGGUCAAGAGAUCAAGACCAUCCUGGCCAAUAUGGUGAAACCCCGUCUCUACUAAAAAUACAAAAAUUAGCUGGGCAUGGUGGUACACAUCUGUAGUCCCAGCUACUUGGGAGGCUGAGGCAGGAGAAUCACUUGAACCUGGGAGGUGGAGGUUGCAGUGAGCCGAGAUUGCACCACUGCACUCCAGUCUGGCAACAGAGUGAGACCCCGUUUCAAAUAAUAAUAAUAACUUAUUGUAGGUUGGUUACGGUGGCUCAUGCCUAUAAUCCCAGCACUGUGGGAGGCCGAGGUGGAUGGAUAACCUGAAGUCAGGUGUUUGAAACCAGCCUGGCCGACAUGGCAAAACCCCGUCUCUACUAAAAAUACAAAAAUUAGCGGGGCAUGGUGGUGGGUGCCUGUAAUCCCAGCUACUCCGGAGGCUGAGGCAGGAGAAUUGCUUGAACCCAGGAGGUGGAGGUUGCAGUGAGCCAAUAUCGAACCACUGCACUCCAGCCUGGGCAACAGAGUGGGGCUUUGUCUCAAAAUAAAUAAAUAAAUAAAAUAAAAUAACUUACUAUAAUAUGGUAGAAAGAUUCAAAUAGAAGUUCCAUGUAGAGUGAAGACUUUAAAACUGUACUGAAUGAUGCAAGAAUUUUUAAAAGUGAAAAGAAAGUUAUGAGACAAAAUUACCCAACUCUUUCCAGACCUUUUAUUUUGCACAUUUCUGAUUAAACAAAGCAUAUUGUGUCUCUCUCUAGUUUUCUGAGCACCUCAACUUUGCUUAAAACUUUCUAAAAGAUUUUUCAGAGAACUUCAUGGAAGAGAUCAUUUUGAGCUGAGCCUUGAGGAAAUGAGGAUUUUCUGAGCAGGAAGGAAGCUGAACACCAUUCCAAAUAUAAGAAACUAGAGGUGCAAAGGCAGAGAGGUGUACUCUGGGGAAUGGGAAGCGUUGGGCUGCUUAUUGGGGUGUGAGAAAGGAAAUAGUAGCAGGUGCAGCCAGAAAGGAGCCAGAGCCAGGCUAUGAAGGGUCUACUAAACAUCCUCAGACAACAGAGAAAGGACGGAACAUUUUUUGUUUUGUUUUAUUUUUUACUUUUAUUUGUAAAUAAUUUCCAGUUUACAGAAAAGUUGAAAGUAUGAAUAGUAUAUGGAAUGCCUGUAUAUCCUUUAUCCAGAUUCACCUAUUGUUAAUACUUUAUCCUACUUGCUUUUUUGUUUGAUCUCUCUCUCCUUUUUAUUAUAAAUACAUAUAUGUAUGUGUGUGCACAUAUAUAUGUACAUAUACACACACACACAGAAUUGUUUCUAUACCAUUUGAAAAUAAAUUGGAUGAAUCAUUAUGACCUUCUUCUAAAUAUCUCUGUUCUUUUUUCCUAAAAAUAGGGCUAUUCUCUUCUUAACCACAGAAUAGUUAUCAACUUUAGUAAAUUUAACCCUAAUAAAAUACUUUUUAUCUACCCUGGAAUUCAUAUGCCAAUUUUGUCAAUUAAAGCAAUAUCUGUUAUGGUAUUUUUCCCCCUUCAAGAACAGGAUCAAGUCUAACCUAAAGUAUUGUACUUAGUUGUCAUGUCCAUUUACUAUUUUAAUGUAGAACAGUCCUGAAGCCUGUCUGUGACUUUUAUGAUGUUGACAUUUUUUAAAUAACAUAGUCCCCCUUUUAAAAAAAAAAAAAAUAGAACAAUUCUUCAGAAAGGCCCUGGGGAAGAGGAAAAGCUUUUCUAGCAAUUGAUGUCAGCAACCCACCAAGGAACCAGUGGAAGAAAUCUAAGAUGGCUGACUAAAUGCGGCUAGUACACAGCUCUUCUGUGGAGAGGAAAAAAAAUGGCAAGUAGAUAUUCACACUUCAAAUAGAUCAUCUAAGAGAAAACACUAGAAUUCAACAGGAAAGUGGUAGGAAGCAUCAAAAGCAAAGAAGGAGAGGGAGGCAGGGCAACCUACUGGGUCAAGAUCAGCUGGAAGCUGAGAAAACCUCCCUUAAAUAGGGAAAGGGUAAGUGAAUGACCCCCAGGGCUCCACAUUCCCACCAUGGACUUCUACAUUCCUAGCCACAGGAAAGCACCUUGACCUUCUUGGGCUUCAGACGAACAUACAGAGCUACUUAGAGAUUGUGUAGAGGCACUACUUUAGAAAGAACACUCACACUGAGUCCCACAGGCUUCUGAGCCCCAAGCAACUGCCACAUGGCACCAUUCUGAGCACUCAGCCCCCAGAAGACUGUCAAAGAAGAGAGGAGGAUGGCACUUUUACACACACCAACGACAAAUCUUACUUCCUCCUCUGCCACAGUCUGUUGUUGGACCAAAAGGUGAGAGAACUGCACAUCCCAUAGCUGCCUUCCUAAACUGCUCUCACUGAGAGUGGCCCCAUCCUCCUCAGAGACAGGCCCACAGCACAGCCACCACUGCCCCUACCUGAGCAUUCUGCCAACAGCCUGGGGACCACCUGCCUUUGCCUAUUAUAACCAGUGAUGGAACACACUACCAGAGAGCCUGAAGUCCACUAUCCUGGUCCUGUCCUCCAGUUCUCAAGCAUGCUGUCCAAGGGCCUGGAGGUUGCCCUGCCCAGCCACUGUUGGCAGCUGAACACUGUUGGCAGCUGAAUACUUCUCAAGUGCCAUUCAAAACUUCAUGUAUCAGUAAUAACUUUAAAUGUAAAUGGAUUAAAUUAUCCACUUAAUAUGUAUAAAGUGGCUGAAUGGAUAAAGAAAAAAUAUCCAAUUAUAUGCUGCCUACAAGAAAUAUACUUUAUCUGCCAAGACACAUAUAAACUUAAAGUAAAGAAAUGGAAAAAAAAUAUUACACAAAAUGAAAACCAAAAGCAAGCAGGAGUAGCUAUACUUAUAUCAGAUAAAACAAACUUUGAGUCAAAAACAGUAAACAAACAAACAAAACCAAAGAAAGUCACUAUACAGUGAUAAAGGGAGCAAUCCAGCAAAAUGAAAUAACAAUUCUGAAAACAUAUGCACUCAGCACUGGAGCACCCAGAUUUGAAAAGCAAAUAUUACUAGAUCUAAAGAGAGAAAAACAUUCCAAUAAAACAAUAGUGGGGGAGUUCAACACCCUACUCUCAGCAUGAGAUAGAUCAUCUAGAUGGAAAAAUCAACAAAGAAGCAGUGGAUUUAAUCUGCGCUUUAAACCAAAUGGACCUAACAGAUAUUUACAGAACAUUUUAUCCAACAACUACAGAAUAUACAUUCUUCUCAUCAGCACAUGGAAUGUUUUUCAGGAUAGCCCAUAUAUUAGGCCACAAAACAAGUCUCAACUUUUUUUAAAAUCAAAAUUAUAUCAACUGUCUUCUCAGACUACAGUGGAAUAAGACUAGAAAUUAAUACCAACAAGAAUUUUGGAAACUAUAAAAAUACAUGGAAAUUAAACAACACAGUCCUGAACAACCAUUGACUCAACAAAAAAGUAAGAUGGAAAUAAAAAAUAUUCUUGAAACAAAUGAAAAUAGAAACACAGCAUAUCAAAAUCUAUGGGAUACAGCAAAAGCAAUGCUAAGUGGAAAGUUUAUAGCAAUAAACACCUAAAUCAAAAAAAUGGAGGCUGGGCUCAGUGGCUCAUGUCUGUAAUCCCAGCACUUUGGGAGGCUGAGAUGGGCAGAUUGCUUGAGCCUAGGAGUCUGAGAUCAGCAUGGGCAACAUGGCGAAACCAUGUCUCUACAAAACAUACAAAAAAUUAGCUUGGUGUGGUGGUGCACACUUGAGUACCAGCUACCCAAGAGACUGAGGUGGGAGGAUUGCUUGAGCCAAGGAGAGAGAGGUUGCAGUGACCUGAGAUCAUGCCACUCUACUGCACUUCAGCCUGCACAAGAGAGUGAGACCCUGUCUCAAAAAAAAAAAAAAAAAAUCAGGAUCAGGUGCAGUGGCUCAUGCCUGUAAUCCCAGCACUUUGGAAGGCUGAGGUGGGUGGAUCACCUAAGCUCAGGAGUUCGAGACCCGGGCAAUGUAGUGAAACCCCGUCUCUACCAAAAUAUACAAAAAUUAGCCAGGCAUGGUGGCACACACCUGUAGUCUCAGCUACUCUGGAGGCUGAGGUGGGAGGAUCGCUUGAUCUGGGAGACAGAGGUUGCAGUGAGCCAAGGUUGCACCACUGCACUCCAGCCUGUGUGACAGAGUGAGACCCCAUCUCAAAGAAAAAAAAAAAGAGAAGGAUUUCAAAUAAAAACCUAAGGAGACAUCUCAAGGAACUAGAAAAGUGAGAAUAUAUGAAACUCAAAAUUAGUGAAAGAGUAAUAAAGAUCAGGGCAGAACUAAAUAAAACAGAGUCUAAAUGAAAAAAAUACAAGGCCGGGCAUGGUGGCUCACGCCUGUAAUCCCAGCACUUUGGACGGCUGAGGCAGGCAGAUCAUGAGGUCAGGAGAUUGAGACCAUCCUGCCUAACAUGGUGAAACCCCAUCUCUGCUAAAAAAAACUUAGCCGGGCGUGGUGGCGGGUGCCUGUAGUCCCAGCUACUCAGGAGGCUGAGGCAGGAGAAUGGCGUGAACCUGGAGGCAGAGCUUGCAGUGAGCCAAGAUCGCGCCACUGCACUCCAGCCUGGGCAACAGAGCAAGACUCUGUCUCAAAAAAAAAUAAAUAAAUAAAUAAAUAGGCCAGGCGUGGUGGCUCAAGCCUGUAAUCCUAGCACUUUGGGAGGCAGAGGUGGGUGGCUCAUGAGGUCAGGAGUUUGAGACCAUCCUGGCCAACAUGGUGAAACCCCGUCUCUACUAAAAACAAACAAAAAAAUAGCCGGGCGUGGUGGCGGGCGCCUGUAGUCCCAGCUACUCGGGAGGCUGAGGCAGGAGAAUGGCGUGAACCCAGGAGGCAGAGCUUGCAGUGAGCCAAGAUGGCGCCACCGCACUCCAGCCUGGGGGACAGAGCGAGACUCUGUCUCAAAAAAAAAAAAAAAAAAAUCAUAAUAAUACAAAGGAUCAAUGAAACAGUUGUUUUUUUAAAAAAGAUAAAAUUGAUAAACCGCUAGCUGAAGACCCAAAUAAAAUUAGAAAUGAAAAAGAAGACAUUACAACUAUACAACUGAUACCAUAGAAAUACAAAAGAUCAUCAGAGACUUUUAUAAACAACCAUACAUUAACACACUGGAAAGCCUAGAGGAAAUGGAUGUAUGUUCCUAGAGGAAAUGGAUGUUUCUGAAAACAUACACCCGACCAAGAUUGAAUCAGGAGGAAAUCAGAAACUUGAAUAGACCAAUUAUGAAUAGCAAAGUUGAAUCAGUUAUAAAAAAUUUCCCAAUAAAGAAAAGCUCAGGACUGGAUGGAUUCAUAGCCAAUUCAUAUCAAAUGUAUAAAGAAGAACUAAUACCAAUCCUCCUGAAACUAUUCCAAAAAAUUAAAGACAAAGGAACUCCUCCUAACUCAUUCUGUGGGGUCAGUGUUACCCUGAUACCAAAACUAGACAGCACAACAGAAAAAAGAAAACUACCGGCCAAUAUCCCUGAUUAACAUAGACACAAAAAUUCUCAACAAAAUACUAGCAAACAGACUCUGACAACAGAUCAAAAGGUAAUGCAACAUGAUUAAGUGGGAAUUAUACCAGAGACACAAGGAUGGUUCAACAUAUGCAAAUUAAUAAACAACACACAUCACAUCAAAAGAAUGAAGGACAAAAACCAUAUGAUUAUCUCAAUAGAUGCAGAAAAGGCAUUUGAUAAAAUUCAACAUCCCUUCAUAAUAAAACUCAACUAGGCAUAGAAAGAACAUGCCUCAAGGCGAGGUGUGGUUCACGCCUGUAAUCCCAGCACUUUGGGAGGCUGAGAUGGGCGGAUCACAGGGUCAGGAGAUUGAGACCAUCCUGGCCAACAUGGUGAAACCUCGUCUCUACUAAAAAUAAAAAAUAAAAAUAAAAAAAUUAGCUGGGUGUGGUGAUGUGCACCUGUAGUCCCAGCUACUAGGGAGGCUGAGGCAGGAGAAUCGCUUGAACCCAGGAGGCAGAGGUUGCAGUGAGCCGAGAUUGUGCCACUGCACUCCACACUACAGCCUGGUGACAGAACAAGAUGACUCCAUCUCAAAAAAAAAAAAAAAAAAAAAAAAAGAAAGAACGUACCUCAAAAUAAUAAAGACCACAUACAACAAACGCACAGCUAACAUCAUACUGAAUGGGGAAAAGCUGAAAGCCUUUCCUCUAAGAUCUGGAACAAGACAAGGAUGCUCACUUUCACCACUCCUAUUCAAGAUCGUUGCCAGAACAAUCAGGCAAGAGAAAGAAAUAAAAGGGAUCCAAAUUGGAAAAGAGGAAGUCAAAUUGUCCUUCUUUGCCAAUGAUAUGAUCUUAUAUCUAGAAAAAUCUAAAGAUUUCACCAAAAAAACUCCUAGAUUUGAUAAACACAUUCAAUAAAAUUGCAGGAUACAAAAAUCAAUAUACAAAAGUCAGUAGCAUUUCUGUACACCAAUAAUGAACAACGGGAGAAGGAAAUCAAGAAAGCAAUCUCAUUUACAAUAGCUACAAAAAAAAAAUGCCUAGGAAUAAAUUUAACCAAGGUGAAAGAUCUCUACAAGGAAAACUACAAAACACUGAUGAAAGAACUUGAAGAGGACACAAACAAAUAAAAAGUCAUCCCAUGCUCAUGAAUCAGAAUAACUAAUAUCAUUAAAACAACCAUACUGCCCAAAGCAAACUACAGAUUCAAUGAAAUCUCUACCAAAAUACAAAUGUUGUUUUUCACAGAAUUAGAAAAAACAAUCUUAAAAUAUUCAUGGAACCAAUAAAGCGUCAGAAUAGCCAAAGUAACCCUGAACAAAAAGAACAAAGCUGAGCCAGGUGCAGUGGCUCACACCUAUAAUCCCAACACUUUGGGAGGCUGCAGUGGGCGGAUCAUGAGGUCAGGAGUUUGAGACCAGCCUGACCAACAUGGUGAAACCCCAUCUCUACUAAAAAUACAAAAAUUAGCCAGGUGAGGUAGCACGUGUCUGUAAUCCCAGGUACUCAGGAGGCUGAGGCAGGAGAAUUGCUUGAGCCCAGGAGGUGGAGGUUGCAGUGAGCCAAGAUUGCGCCACUGCACUCCAGCCUGUGUGACAGAGCAAGACUCCAUCAAAAAAAAAAAAAAAAAAAGUGGGCAAAAGACAUGAAUAGACAUUUAUCAGAAGAAGACAUACAAAUGGCCAACAGAAAUAUGAAAAAAUGCUCAAAAUCACUAAUCAUCAGGGAAAUGCAAAUCAAAACCACAAUGAAAUACCAUAUUACGCUGGUUAGAAUGGUUAUUACUAAAAAGACAAAAAAUAACAAAUGCUGGCAAGAAUGUGGAGUAAAGGGAACUCUGACAGACUUUUGAUGGGAAUGUAAAUUAGUACAACCAAUGUGGAAAACAGUAUGGACAUUUCUCAAAAAACUAAAGAUAGAACUACUGUAUGAUCCAGCAAUCCCACUGCUGGGUGCUUAUCCAAGGAAAAGAAGUCUGUACGUCAAAGGAAUACCUGCACUGUCAUGUUCAUCAUGGCACUAUUCACAAUAGCAAAGAUAUGGAAUCAACCUAAUUGUCCAUCAAUAGAUGAAUUGAUAAAAUGUACUCUGUAAAAACGCACCAAUCAGCGCUCUGUGUCUAGCUAAAGGUUUGUAAAUGCACCAAUCAGCACUCUGUAAAAACGCACCAAUCAGUGCUCUGUGUCUAGCUAAAGGUUUGUAAACGCACCAAUCAGCACUCUGUGAAAACGGACCAGUCAGCACUCUGUAAAAUGGACCAAUCAACACUCUGUGAAAUGGACCAAUCAGCAGGACAUGGGUGGGGCCAAAUAAGGGAAUAAAAGCUGGCCACCGGAGCCAGCAGGGGCAACCCGCUAGGUCCCCUUCCAUGCCAUGGAAAGCUUUGUUCUUUUGCUUUUCACAGUAAAUCUUGCUGCUGCUGAAAAAAAAAAAAAAAAAGGAAAGGAAGAAAAUGUGCUAUAUAUACACAAUGGGAUACAAUUAAGCUAUAAAAAAGAAUUAAAUCAUGUUAUUUGCAACAGCAUGGCUGGUACUAGAGGUCAUUAUGUUGAGUGAGAUAAGCCAGGCCCAGAAAGACAGAUACUGCAUUUUCUCACUCAUAUGUGAAAGCUGAAAAAAAAGAUCUCAUGGACAUAAAGAACAGAAUAGAUACAGCAGCUGGGAAGGGUGUAUGGGUGGGAAGGGGGGAUAGAGAGAGGUUGAUGGGCAAAAACAUAAUGGCUGAUUAGAAGAAAUAACCCCCAAUGUUCAGUGGCAGAGCAGGAUGACUACAGUUACCAACAAUGUAUUGUAUAUUUCAAAGUAGCUAGAACAGAGAACUUGAAUUUUU
This 17363-nucleotide long non-coding RNA is filed under the name Homo sapiens (human). Its description in RNAcentral is "HSALNT0077658". The record is from RNAcentral. Lineage: Eukaryota; Metazoa; Chordata; Mammalia; Primates; Hominidae.